AUUGAACGCUGGCGGCAUGCUUUACACAUGCAAGUCGAACGGCAGCGCGGGCUUCGGCCUGGCGGCGAGUGGCGAACGGGUGAGUAAUGCAUCGGAACGUGCCCAGUAGUGGGGGAUAGCCCGGCGAAAGCCGGAUUAAUACCGCAUACGACCUGAGGGUGAAAGCGGGGGACCGAAAGGCCUCGCGCUAUUGGAGCGGCCGAUGUCGGAUUAGCUAGUUGGUGGGGUAAAGGCUUACCAAGGCGACGAUCCGUAGCUGGUCUGAGAGGACGACCAGCCACACUGGAACGGAGACACGGCCCAGACUCCUACGGGAGGCAGCAGUGGGAAUUUUGGACAAUGGGGGCAACCCUGAUCCAGCCAUGCCGCGUGCGGGAAGAAGGCCUUCGGGUUGUAAACCGCUUUUGUUCGGGAAGAAAUCCUCUGGGCUAAUACCCCGGGGGGAUGACGGUACCGGAAGAAUAAGCACCGGCUAACUACGUG
This 483-nucleotide ribosomal RNA is filed under the name uncultured bacterium. RNAcentral describes it as "partial 16S ribosomal RNA". It matches the Rfam family "Bacterial small subunit ribosomal RNA", at positions 29 to 507 of the family's 1533-position model. The record is from RNAcentral.